Molecule: ribosomal RNA, 362 nt
Filed under: Staphylococcus aureus
Lineage: Bacteria; Bacillati; Bacillota; Bacilli; Caryophanales; Staphylococcaceae
Description: bacterial SSU rRNA
Rfam family: Bacterial small subunit ribosomal RNA
Source: RNAcentral
UAUAGAUGGAUCCGCGCUGCAUUAGCUAGUUGGUAAGGUAACGGCUUACCAAGGCAACGAUGCAUAGCCGACCUGAGAGGGUGAUCGGCCACACUGGAACUGAGACACGGUCCAGACUCCUACGGGAGGCAGCAGUAGGGAAUCUUCCGCAAUGGGCGAAAGCCUGACGGAGCAACGCCGCGUGAGUGAUGAAGGUCUUCGGAUCGUAAAACUCUGUUAUUAGGGAAGAACAUAUGUGUAAGUAACUGUGCACAUCUUGACGGUACCUAAUCAGAAAGCCACGGCUAACUACGUGCCAGCAGCCGCGGUAAUACGUAGGUGGCAAGCGUUAUCCGGAAUUAUUGGGCGUAAAGCGCGCGUAG